This 593-nucleotide small RNA is filed under the name uncultured Pyrenophora. Its description in RNAcentral is "eukaryotic LSU rRNA". The stretch from base 238 to 391 matches the Rfam family "5.8S ribosomal RNA". The record is from RNAcentral. Lineage: Eukaryota; Fungi; Ascomycota; Dothideomycetes; Pleosporales; Pleosporaceae.
AAGUCGUAACAAGGUCUCCGUAGGUGAACCUGCGGAGGGAUCAUUACCCAAAUAUGAAACGCAGACUGGGCACCCUCGAGGAGCGAUUCGUCGUCCCCCUCCUGGGCCGGUCUGACGCCAUAUUCACCCAUGUCUUUUGCGUACUACUUGUUUCCUUGGCGGGUUCGCCCGCCAUUAGGACCCAACCAUAAACCUUUUUGUAAUUGCAAUCAGCGUCUGAACAAUGUAAUAAAUUACAACUUUCAACAACGGAUCUCUUGGUUCUGGCAUCGAUGAAGAACGCAGCGAAAUGCGAUAAGUAGUGUGAAUUGCAGAAUUCAGUGAAUCAUCGAAUCUUUGAACGCACAUUGCGCCCUUUGGUAUUCCAAAGGGCAUGCCUGUUCGAGCGUCAUUUGUACCCUCAAGCUUUGCUUGGUGUUGGGCGUUUUGUCUUGGGUCCGUCCCGAGACUCGCCUUAAAAUCAUUGGCAGCCGGCCUACUGGUUUCGGAGCGCAGCACAUUUUUUGCGCCCUGGUCCAGUGGUCCAGCGUCCAUGAAGCGAAUAUUUUUUUCAAUUUGACCUCGGAUCAGGUAGGGAUACCCGCUGAACUUAA